GGGCUGGUACGUGGCUGGUGCAAUCCUGCUCAUUCUGCUUGCUGUCAUACUUUUGCUUGCAAGAGAAAUAAUGAAGAUGAAGAGCAAUCAAGCACGACAGUCUCAAAUGAUGCAGAGGAGUUGCCAUGGUGACCAAGGUACCACUGACCCA
This is a long non-coding RNA of Sardina pilchardus (European sardine), 151 nucleotides long. RefSeq lists it as uncharacterized. The transcript has 3 exons. The record is from RefSeq and is a predicted model, not a curated record. Lineage: Eukaryota; Metazoa; Chordata; Actinopteri; Clupeiformes; Clupeidae.